This 253-nucleotide ribosomal RNA is filed under the name uncultured bacterium. RNAcentral's name for it is "partial 16S ribosomal RNA". It matches the Rfam family "Bacterial small subunit ribosomal RNA", at positions 524 to 776 of the family's 1533-position model. The record is from RNAcentral.
UACGUAGGGUGCGAGCGUUAAUCGGAAUUACUGGGCGUAAAGCGUGCGUAGGCGGUUUUGUAAGUCAGGUGUGAAAUCCCCGAGCUUAACUUGGGAAUGGCGCUUGUGACUGCAAGGCUAGAGUAUGUCAGAGGGGGGUAGAAUUCCACGUGUAGCAGUGAAAUGCGUAGAGAUGUGGAGGAAUACCGAUGGCGAAGGCAGCCCCCUGGGGCGUCACUGACGCUCAUGCACGAAAGCGUGGGGAGCAAACAGG